AUUGAACGCUGGCGGCAGGCCUAACACAUGCAAGUCGAACGGUAACAGGAAGAAGCUUGCUUCUUUGCUGACGAGUGGCGGACGGGUGAGUAAUGUCUGGGAAACUGCCUGAUGGAGGGGGAUAACUACUGGAAACGGUAGCUAAUACCGCAUAACGUCGCAAGACCAAAGAGGGGGACCUUCGGGCCUCUUGCCAUCGGAUGUGCCCAGAUGGGAUUAGCUAGUAGGUGGGGUAACGGCUCACCUAGGCGACGAUCCCUAGCUGGUCUGAGAGGAUGACCAGCCACACUGGAACUGAGACACGGUCCAGACUCCUACGGGAGGCAGCAGUGGGGAAUAUUGCACAAUGGGCGCAAGCCUGAUGCAGCCAUGCCGCGGGUAUGAAGAAGGCCUUCGGGUUGUAAAGUACUUUCAGCGGGGAGGAAGGGAGUAAAGUUAAUACCUUUGCUCAUGGACGUUACCCGCAGAAGAAGCACCGGCUAACUCCGU
This 489-nucleotide ribosomal RNA is filed under the name uncultured bacterium. Its description in RNAcentral is "partial 16S ribosomal RNA". It matches the Rfam family "Bacterial small subunit ribosomal RNA", at positions 30 to 506 of the family's 1533-position model. The record is from RNAcentral.